This 253-nucleotide ribosomal RNA is filed under the name uncultured bacterium. Its description in RNAcentral is "partial 16S ribosomal RNA". It matches the Rfam family "Bacterial small subunit ribosomal RNA", at positions 524 to 776 of the family's 1533-position model. The record is from RNAcentral.
UACGUAGGGCGCAAGCGUUGUCCGGAAUUAUUGGGCGUAAAGAGCUCGUAGGCGGUCUGUCGCGUCUGCUGUGAAAACUCAGGGCUUAACCCCGAGCCUGCAGUGGAUACGGGCAGACUAGAGGUAGGUAGGGGAGAAUGGAAUUCCCGGUGUAGCGGUGAAAUGCGCAGAUAUCGGGAGGAACACCGGUGGCGAAGGCGGUUCUCUGGGCCUUACCUGACGCUGAGGAGCGAAAGCGUGGGGAGCGAACAGG